UUGUGACGCCCGGGUAAUUAAGCUACAGUGAUCCUUUGCUAAUGAUGCCAUGUCACCACUAUUACUGUUACUAAUCUCACGUUGAUCCAAAUCCGGUUCAAAUUCAAAUUCAAAUAAUAAGUGAAAUUCUAAACUUCUCAAACAUCAAAACUAAAAUGAUCAUCAUGUGGCAAAUAAUCCCUAACUUAUUUUGGUUGUUGGAACCAACCUUUUUCAAAAUGUUUAAGUGCCUAAACUAAAUAAAAACAGGGGCUAAAACAAUUAUUAAAUACUUUUAAAUAAUAAACAAAUGUAAAACUAAUUUAUUUAGUUCCAAGUUAAUUAUGGCAGUAGCCUAACUAAUAAUGCUAAUUUAGGGACUGAGUUGAUAUAUUAUAAAACUACAUAUAAAGUAAAACUUAAAGAAACAGAAAAUAGAUAAACAGANNNNNNNNNNNNNNNNNNNNNNNNNNNNNNNNNNNNNNNNNNNNNNNNNNNNNNNNNNNNNNNNNNNNNNNNNNNNNNNNNNNNNNNNNNNNNNNNNNNNNNNNNNNNNNNNUACCCUACGCCAGGACGCCGCCGCCGCCCGAAUCGACCUUCGACGCCCGGAUCGCUCCCCCCGCCGGCCUGCUUCUCCUCUACGUCGUCGUCCCCGCCGCCCUCCUCACGCACCACUACCCUGUUCCCCACGCACCACGGUGAGGCCCUCGGCCUCCUACUCUCCUCCCCGCCUUGCGCGCACGCGCACACAUGCACGCGCACCGCCUCACCGCGCCGACCCGCCUCGCUCGCGUCGCCACGCACCGCCGGCCUCGCCCAUGUUUCGUUGCUGCUGCUUCCUGUGCCGCGACCUGCACCGGCCACACCCCCUACAUCCAUGGCACGCCUCGUCGAUGCCCGCCUGCGCGCCGGCCAUGGCCUUGGUCACCCGCCGUGGCCAGCUCCUACUGCUACUGCGUGCUGGCCUCGCCCACCCCGGCCCCUCAUGCUCCUCGCGCCGCCCUGCCUCCACCGCUUGCAGCCGCUCACACGCCCACGGCCCUGCUCCCUGCCGGCUCCGGCCCGACUGCAGCUCGCCGCUCCCAUGCACGCACGCCGGCGCGCGAAACCGCGCCCUACGUCAUCCCCAGGGCCGCCACUGCCGGGGCUGCGCCCUACUUCCCCGGCAAGCUGGUCGCCGGCACCCAGCGCCCGUCCCUCCCGCGUCGACCUGGGCGGGUGCCCGGCGCCCGUUACCCCGCACUCGCGCGCCCGCUCCAGUGGCCUCUGCGCCACUAGGCAAGGGGCCCCACGCCCCCUGAGAACGUUAAAAAAGGAAUUGAAAAUAAUUAAUUAUUAAUUAAUUAAUUAAUUAAUUAAUUAAAGAGUUAAUUAACUAAUUAAUUAACUUAAUUAAUCCUGUUCAAUUAACCUAAUCACUUAAUUAAUUUAACUAAUCAUGUUUAGUUAACCUAAGUCAAUGACAUCUGGGACCCACCCGUCAGUUUGACCAAGUCAACUGACUGUUGACUGCUGACAUCACCCUGAUGUCAUGCUAACAUCAUAAUGGCAUUUUCUAAUUAAAUUAAUUCUGAUAAUUCUAAAAAUGAUUUAAAUCUUCUAAAAAUAAUAUAAAAUAAACCGUAACUUGUAUGAAAAUACCUUGUACAAGAAAGUUGCUCAGAACGACGAGACGAACCCGAUUUCGCAGCCCGUUCGUUUGCCACGCAUACUUAGCAUCGCGAACACUCAACUUUCCUCCUCCAGUUCAUCUGAUCGAAAAUGCGAAACCUCGGGGAUAUUUUCCCGGAGGUUUCCCCCCUUCGCCGGUACCACCUCAUACCGCGUUAGGGCACCCCUAGCACCGCGUAUUGUCAUGUUAUGCCUUGUGAGGCUUUGAUUGCAUUGUUAUUUAUUGUGUUCCUCCUCCGUUACUUCUUUCUUGUAGACCCUAAGGCUGCCGGCGAACCCCCCCAGUUCGACUACGGUGUUGACGACCCCUCUCUCUUGCCAGAGCAACCAGGCAAGCCCCCCCCCCCUUUGAUCACCAGAUAUCGCCUACUCUUCUCUAUAUUGCUUGCAUUAGAGUAGUGUAGCAUGUUACUGCUUUCCCUUAUUCCUAUCCUGAUGCAUAGCCUGUCCUUGCUACUACUGUUGUUACCAUUACCUGCUAUCCUACUGCUUAGUAUAGGAUGCUAGUGUUCCAUCAGUGGCCCUACACUCUUGUCCGUCUGCCAUGCUAUACUACUGGGCCGUGAUCACUUCGGGAGGUGAUCACGGGAAUAUACUAUAUACUUUACACAGUUACAUUACCUGUGGUACUGUUCGGAGUUGGGGGCUGAAGGGGCAGGUGGCUCCAUCCCAGUAGAGGUGGGCCUGGGUUCCCGACGGCCCCCGACUGUUACUUUGUGGCGGAGCGACAGGGCAGGUUGAGACCACCUAGGAGAGAGGUGGGCCUGGCCCUGGUCGGUGUUCGCGGAUAUUUAACACGUUUAACGAGAUCUUGGUAUUUGAUCUGAGUCUGGCUAUUGGCCUAUAUGCACUAACCAUCUACGCGGGGACAGUUAUGGGCACUCGACGUCGUGGUAUCAGCCGAAGCCUUCGUGACGUCAGCGACUGAGUGGCGCACGCCGGAUUGGACCGUAAGCCUGCUCUUGUAUUAAGGGGGCUAGUUCUGCUUCCGGCCGCAUACGCAACGUGUAGGUGUGCAAUGGGCGAUGGGCCCAGACCCCUGCGCCAUAGGAUUUAGACCGGCGUGCUGACCUCUCUGUUGUGCCUAGGUAGGGCUACGACGUGUUGAUCUUCCGAGGCCGGGCAUGACCCAGGAAAGUGUGUCCGGCCAAAUGGGAUCGAGCGUGUUGGGUUAUGUGGUGCACCCCUGUAGGGAAGUUAAUCUAUUCGAAUAGCCGUGAUCUUCGGUAACAGGACGACUUGGAGUUGUACCUUGACCUUAUGACAACUAGAACCGGAUACUUAAUAAAACACACCCUUCCAAGUGCCAGAUACAACCGGUGAUCGCUCUCUCACAGGGCGACGAGGGGAGGAUCAUCGGUUAGGAUUAUGCUAUACGAUGCUACUUGAUGCUACUUGGUGAAAUUACCAUCUACUCUCUCCUACAUGAUGCAAGAUGGAGGUGGCCAGAAGCGUAGUCUUCGACAUGAUUAGUUAUCCCCCUCUUAUUCUGGCAUUCUGCAGUUCAGUCCACAUAUGAUACCCUUAUUCCAUUUGAUACCCAUGCAUAUGUAGUGUAGCUGCUUGCUUGCGAGUACUUUGGAUGAGUACUCACGGUUGCUUUCUCCCCCUUUUCCCCCUUUCCUUUCUUUCUGGUUGUCGCAACCAGAUGCUGGAGUCCAGGAGCCAGACGCCACUGUUGAUGACGACUACUACUACUCGGGAGGUGCCUACUACUAUGUGCAGCCCGCUGACGGCGACCAAGAGUAGUUUAGGAGGAUCCCGAGCAGGAGGCCUGCGCCUCUUUCGAUCUGUAUCCCAGUUUGUGUUAUCCUUCUUAAGGCAAACUUGUUUAACUUAUGUCUGUACUCAGAUAUUGUUGCUUCCACUGACUCAUCUAUGAUCGAGCUCUUGUAUUCGAGCCUUCGAGGCCCCUGGCUUGUAAUAUGAUGCUUGUAUGACUUAUUUUAUUUGUAGAGUUGUGUUGUGAUAUCUUCCCAUGAGUCCCUGAUCUUGAUCGUACACGUUUGCGUGUAUGAUUAGUGUACGAUUGAAUCGGGGGCGUCACAAGUUGGUAUCAGAGCCGACUGCCUGUAGGAAUUCCCCUUCCACACUCCUUGGCCAAAGUCGAGUCUAGACAUUACAAAAACUUUUACUAACAUGGAUGUGUGCCUUACGGGCCCACGUCGCCAUCUGGGUGGUAUUGGAAUCUUUUACUCCUCGAUCCUUACUUUGGGAUUCUGACUCUCUCCUACUCGGGUUAAAUGAUUUUACUAAACCUGACUCUAGGUUCUCGUAACUACUUUCUCCCGGAGAGCCCCUUAUCACAGAUGAUCGCAUGCUGCACCAGAAGAUUCCGAAGAUACUCUCCAAUGUUCUCUUGAGACUUUGUGCCCGCCGCCUUUGCAAUUCCCUACCACCGAAUUAUCCCUAUGGAUAAAUAGAUACACCAAUCGUCCUUAAUUUUAUUCCUAGCUGAUCUUGUUAUUGCAAGAUACCCCGAAAUUCUCUCUAUUGUCCCGAGAAUACUUUGUGCCUACCGCCUUGCAGUUCUUUGCCGCCUGAAUGCCCCUAUGGAUAAAUUCUCGCACCUACCGAGUAUCCGCUCAUCCCCAGUUGUUUAUGUGUUUCACUAAGGUUUUCGAAAUAAUAUUCGAUCUUCCAAAAAUCCUUAACAGCUUAUUGCCCUUGAAAUUCUUGCUUGCUUGCAUUAUGGUUAAUCCCAUAAGUCUCGUAAUCAUUAUUGGCAUCCCUUGUCAUUGUUAUUUUGGGUCUUUGAUCCAAUAUGGUUGUGAAUGCUUGCAAUCCUCAGGAUUUAUCCUUCCAGCUCAGACAUCAUUUUAAACAUGAGCUAGUUCUCGACCAAUCGGAUUGCCAUCGAUUGUACCCUAAGCAUACGUAACUUAUCCAUCCUUAAUCAAAGUGUUUGCUUCUGAUCCCUUGGUCGGAAAUCAUAAUUCUUUUGCAUUUGAGCUUUGAAUUAGUUAGUUGUUUCUAUAGUAUGAUCUCCUUGCAUUGUUUCUUCCUCUGGUUGAGUACCGAUGCUCACAUCAGAUCCUUUGAGGACCACCGGAUCCUUUGUUGGAUUUUAUCCGAUAGCGUCCUUCAUAUUCAAUCCCUUUGGAAGUUCUUUCUCCAUUGGUAAAUCCUAUCCUCUGAUUGACCAACCAUGCUCUGCUUUUGAGCUUGUGGUAUUUACUAUUGAAGCUUGUGGUAUAUGUUUCCAUGAUACCCUGACAGGUUGAACCUAUGCCUUCCUUAAUAUGUGUGAACUCGAAAGUUUUCACGAGUCAUACUCUUCUGGUGUUUUGCUAGAUAAAAUCUCAACACUACAACUUCUUCGAAAGUGAGAGGUGAAUGGAAGGUUAUACAUUGAAGAAGCGGGAGUCGACCUUGAACUUUGUGUUCAUGCCCAUGGUCACGACGUAGAUCCUACCAUAGAAGCUUCUUGUAAUAAUAACUAUUUCGUUGAUGUAAUAUCAUCUGGUAUCUGUGAACUGAUCCUAUGCAAUCAUGGUUCCGACCAUAUUUUCUCCUUAAUACCAUUUCUCGGACAAGUUGAAGUACUUGUCUUGUGCAGAUCAUUGCACUUGUCCAACCUUUACUUUGAUCUACCGUCGAGUAUUACACUAUGAUAUCUUGAUAAUUUCAUGGUACUACAUAACUUCUUAUGGGUUCUUCAUCAAAUGUUAUUUCUCCCCUAAUCCAAUUUUUCUUGGGUUCUGGGUUGUCAUCAAACAAGAACACCGAAUAGUGAAUCGAGUCUGUACUCCGAUUCAAUAAGUCCUAAGUAAUUUUCAUUGCUUCCGAGUUUAAUAACCCUUCAAGUCAUUCCUAGCCUGAUUGGCCAUAUCAUUAUCAUGCAAAAAUUUAACUGUGCUACCUGGUCCUUCUUCCCGGAGCAAAAUUUUCGAUGAUGAGCUAAGCUUACGUCGAUCUUCCUCGUCAUAACACUUCGCCUUGAACUACGAGCUUGUUUCGAGUUUGUGUCAUACCCUUGGUUUCAGUAACCUUUCGCUUCAUCAUUCCUUUGGCUUGAUGUCAUCGCUGACCGAUUACAUCUUCAUGAAAUCUCUCAACAAUUGUGUCGUGAUCAUCAUCGGCAUUCUGAGUUCUUCCAGUAUGUCAAUUGAGUUCAUGAUGAGAAAUACCAUCCUUGCCCUUGAUGAUCUGUAUUAUCAUCGACCACUUUAUUGACUUCCCUCCAACACAAACUUGCAGUGUUUUGUGUUAUACCUUGAGUUCUUGCUAUCCAGCAUUUGUUCUUCCUUACCUUGGAGUAUUACCAUCUUUAAUGUCAAGAAAGUCGUGAGAAUUUCACCACCUCUUAAGGAUUCUUGAUACAGGUAAUACUUCUUACCAUCACCUUUCUUUCUUGGUCCCCGUGUUGGUUCUAACCGGGAUACCAACAGGUGAACGGUGAUGUUUGGAUUCUGCCCUUCUAGCAACCCUAUUGCUUUGAAGUUAAUGGUCGAACGUUCAUUCUUAGACUAUUGAUCACUGAAUCAGCAUUCUAACAUUUGAUCAUGCUACCUAAGCCCAUACCUUGGGCACCCUUUUCAACUAAUGUUUAAUUGUGUAUGUUUUUCCUUGAGCAUACAUCAUUUUAUCAUUUGAUCCGACAAAUCUUAUCUCCUUGUUCAAUAACUAUGGAAAUCCAUCUUUUUGGAUACCUCGAUGUAUUAUUGUUGAGUCCAUCAGCCACCUCCUCAUCCUCUCCUUGGCUUAAUGAUGAAUCCCUUCGUGUAUCCAGAGUCCGGCCUUUGCUUGAAGACCAUGUCAAUGCUAUCUUGAAGCAUGUCUGUGGUACUCCGAUUUUCAACAAGAACAUUUGAAGCCCAAUGCUAAAUGUUUCCUGCUCAAUUACCCAAACACCACUGUAUGGGUAAUGUCAUGAAAUCCCCCCCUUACCUAAAGGGUUUUCUACAUUAUAUCCUGUCAAGGAAAUCAUGCUUUGCUUGUCCUUGGGAAGAAUAUACCCUUGAAAUAUGUGUUUAAACACAUUUUCCUUUCCAUUGUUCUGUUUAAACCUGAUAAUCACUUUUCCUUUCCAUUGGUUUGUUUAAACCUUCUUGUGAUCUAUAUUGUAUAAGCAGUAAUAUAUCCCUGCUUAUGUAAACACCUCGUUGUACCACUCUGUUAGAAGGACCCUGUUACUUUUGUUGAUGACAUUUUGGUAACACCGAUGGACAAGAACUUUGCCUAUUGGUCCGCCUCGUUCAACGAGCAGGAAAAUGGUUCUCUUCGUCCCUCGCCCUUGGUAUCGAUGUCGUUGCCGACAUAAUCGACAGGCUACCCUCUGACAUGCCUUGCUAUCAUGACCAUGCAAGAUGUCACCGCUCCUCCUACUUUUAUCCCACAUGGUGGGCCCAUAACCCACAGUUCCAUAGGAUCGAAACCUGACUCUCCUGUACACCCCCAGUUUCCAAAGUUAUUCCUCGCACUUGACUUCGUAUGUAAUUCACGGGUUCACUAUCCUAGUAAUCUAUUCUGGCAUCAGACGCAAUACUUAUUCCCAUUGCUCUAGACCCCUUUCACACUUUGUUUCAGGCAUUGAACGAUUUCCUGCCCGCUCAAAAUUUAUCAUGAUACCUCCUUACUUUGCUCUCGAUAUUUUCUCAAGUUUCAAUUCGAGAGAUACUUAUGCUUCUUCCCCUGAGUUAACCGUCCGAUGCUCAAUUUUGUUAGAAUCCAUCUUUAUAGAGUUUUCUCCCUCUUAUCCUUUCGUAAGUCCGGUGAAGAUCCUGAACGAAGGACGACAACUUCAUCAUGAUGCAUUGAUGCAUAGGAAUGAAGACAUCAAUGCUAUGGAUCGACCUCUUCGAGAAGAGCAACCAAGACCGAGAAGAUUCGUUAGAAUAUCGUAACAAGAACUUUCCCCCUUACUCCCCUCUUAAAUCUCGGGACGAGAUUUCUUGUAGUGGAGGAGAAUUGUGACGCCCGGGUAAUUAAGCUACAGUGAUCCUUUGCUAAUGAUGCCAUGUCACCACUAUUACUGUUACUAAUCUCACGUUGAUCCAAAUUCGGUUCAAAUUCAAAUUCAAAUAAUAAGUGAAAUUCUAAACUUCUCAAACAUGAAAACUAAAAUGAUCAUCAUGUGGCAAAUAAUCCCUAACUUAUUUUGGGUGUUGGAACCAACCUUUUUCAAAAUGUUUAAGUGCCUAAACUAAAUAAAAACAGGGGCUAAAACAAUUAUUAAAUACUUUUAAAUAAUAAGUAAAUGUAAAACUAAUUUAUUUAGUGCCAAAUUAAUUAUGGAAGUAGCCUAACUAAUAAUGCUAAUUUAGGGACUGAGUUGAUUUAUUAUAAAACUACAUAUAAAGUAAAACUAAA
RNAcentral lists this long non-coding RNA (7962 nucleotides) under Triticum aestivum (bread wheat). Its description in RNAcentral is "long non-coding RNA (TAES_LNC010647)". Lineage: Eukaryota; Viridiplantae; Streptophyta; Magnoliopsida; Poales; Poaceae. The record is from RNAcentral.